GGGAUGACGGAAAUUCGUUCCAAAAUACAUCAUACACCCACCCAGUCGGAAACAACAACAACCAAAAAGGAAAUACAAUUAUACCUUUAUCCAACGUGUGGUGACUAAAAGGUACAUUAGGUACAAUCACUGGAUUUUAGGUACAAUCUUUGAUCAGAUUCAUUUUUCUUUUUCCUUUACCGUGCUAAUAUAUUUAUUUGUAGGCAUGGGAGAAGCUUCUAAAGAAAAGUGGUCAAAAGCAAUUAUAAUGGCCACUGCGAAAAACUAACACUUUACUUAGCUAUCCUCCAAUUCAUAAUUCUUGUUAUAUUUUUUAUAAUCGAAAUUUGAACUGAUUUCUACCAUAAAACGUCAUUGCACCCUAGACUGACUCCCAUUUCGAAUGAUGGUGUGAAAUCUACAAACGCUCUACCUUUGCAAUUGGUGGAAUGCAUUUUUUAAUCUAUUGAAACCAUAAAAACCAAAGUUCCCCGCAUAUGAAAACGUUUAAUUUUCUAUUAAUUUUAUUCGCACGCACAGCCCUUUGUCUGGGAUUCGUCAAAUUGAUGAUUGCUUUUCAACUUUCCGUAAUGGCUUUCAACUGGAUGUGAUUUACACAGAUUUUUCGAAAGCCUUCGACAAAAUCUCCCACAAUAUCUUAUUAACAAAGUUAGAAUGUUUAGGAAUCCACUCAGGUUUCUUGGAGUGGAUCAGGUCCUACUUGCGCUUGAGAACUAGCAAGGUGACUAUUGAUGGUGUUUCGUCCAAGCCAUUUAUUGCUCUCUCAGGGGUUCCUCAGGGAAGCAUCUUAGGCCCAUUAUUUUUUAUUCUUUUCAUUAACGACAUCAGCUCCUGUCUUUCAAAUGUUAGGUUUCUCUUGUUUGCCGAUGAUCUGAAAAUAUAUUCGGAAAUCAGUUGCUCACGAGACUCGGCCUAACUUCAAUCGCAGCUUAACAGGUUUUAUACGUGGUGUGUUCAGAAUCGGCUUACCCUCAACAUCAAUAAAUGCCACAAAGUAUCCUAUUAUAAAUCAAAAGUGCCUCUUAUGACAUCUUACUCCAUCGCAGAUAUUGUCCUUGACUCGAAAAGUGAGACUAAAGAUCUUGGAGUACACUUCGACUCAAAACUCACUUUCACUCUGCACAUAAACAAAACUAUUGCUGAUUCUUUUGCCAUGCUGGCAUUCGUUAGGCGUCAUUCUUCCGAGUUCACUGACCCUUAUACUAUUAAGAUGCUAUAUACUGCGUUUGUGCGUUCCAAAUUGGAAUACGCUGCCUUUAUUUGGAGACCGAGUCACGCAGUUCAUAUCAAUCGUUUGGAAAAGGUGCAGAAGUUUACCUACUCUGCACAAUCGGAGAACUUGUCAUGCUAUCUCGUUUUUAUUGAGUAUUGUCUCGGGAAAAAUUGAUUGUGCGUCCCUACUUGAGAGAAUCCAUUUUUAUGUUCCGAGUCGUAAUUUUCGUCGCUUCGAUGUCUUCAAGGUUGGGUUAAGCAGAACGGCUUAUGGUGCAAACGCGCCAAUAAACAGAACCUUAUCGGACUAUAAGUAUUUCUCAAAUUUGUUAGACAUAUAUUUUACCAAUCCUAGUAAAACCGCAUUAUAUUUGGAAAAUUACCUUAUGUCCGGUCAAUAAUAUCUGCUCAAUAUCUGUAUUUCUUGUAACCUUAUAAACGCAACUUUUAAGUAGUAAUAUUAAAUAAUAUUAAGACUGAUUUGUUAUAUUUAAUUAUACUCUUAAUGUCUGUUAAAACAUUCUGUUAUUAGACAUAAAAAAAAAAUAAAUAAAUAAAUUUCAUAUCUUCUAUAGUUGAGACAAUA
Molecule: long non-coding RNA, 1798 nt
Filed under: Rhagoletis pomonella (apple maggot)
Lineage: Eukaryota; Metazoa; Arthropoda; Insecta; Diptera; Tephritidae
Description: uncharacterized LOC118750880
Source: RNAcentral